RNAcentral lists this ribosomal RNA (433 nucleotides) under uncultured bacterium. RNAcentral describes it as "partial 16S ribosomal RNA". It matches the Rfam family "Bacterial small subunit ribosomal RNA", at positions 29 to 507 of the family's 1533-position model. The record is from RNAcentral.
AACGAACGCUGGCGGCAUGCCUAACACAUGCAAGUCGAACGAGACCUUCGGGUCUAGUGGCGCACGGGUGCGUAACGCGUGGGAACCUGCCCUUAGGUUCGGAAUAACUCCCCGAAAGGGGUGCUAAUACCGGAUAAUGUCUUCGGACCAAAGAUUUAUCGCCUUUGGAUGGGCCCGCGUUGGAUUAGCUAGUUGGUAGGGUAAAAGCCUACCAAGGCGACGAUCCAUAGCUGGUCUGAGAGGAUGAUCAGCCACACUGGGACUGAGACACGGCCCAGACUCCUACGGGAGGGAGCAGUGGGGAAUAUUGGACAAUGGGCGAAAGCCUGAUCCAGCAAUGCCGGGUGAGUGAUGAAGGCCUUAGGGUUGUAAAGCUCUUUUACCCGGGAUGAUAAUGACAGUACCGGGAGAAUAAGCACCGGCUAACUCCGUG